Molecule: ribosomal RNA, 500 nt
Filed under: uncultured bacterium
Lineage: Bacteria
Description: partial 16S ribosomal RNA
Rfam family: Bacterial small subunit ribosomal RNA
Source: RNAcentral
AUUGAACGCUGGCGGAAUGCUUUACACAUGCAAGUCGAACGGCAGCACGGACUUCGGUCUGGUGGCGAGUGGCGAACGGGUGAGUAACAUAUCGGAACGUAUCCAAUAAUGGGGGAUAACGAGUCGAAAGAUUCGCUAAUACCGCAUACGCCCUACGGGGGAAAGCUAGGGACCUUCGGGCCUGGCGUUGAUGGAGCGGCCGAUGUCUGAUUAGCUAGUUGGUGAGGUAAAGGCUCACCAAGGCGACGAUCAGUAGCUGGUCUGAGAGGACGACCAGCCACACUGGAACUGAGACACGGUCCAGACUCCUACGGGAGGCAGCAGUGGGGAAUUUUGGACAAUGGGCGCACGCCUGAUCCAGCCAUUCCGCGUGAGUGAAGAAGGCCUUCGGGUUGUAAAGCUCUUUCGCAAGGGAAGAAAACUUAUCCUCUAACAUAGGAUGAGGUUGACGGUACCUUGAUAAGAAGCACCGGCUAACUACGUGCCAGCCGCCGCCGUAA